GUGCCAGCAGCCGCGGUAAUUCCAGCUCCAAUAGCGUAUAUUAAAGUUGUUGUGGUUAAAAAGCUCGUAGUUGAACCUUGGGCCUGGCUGGCCGGUCCGCCUCACCGCGUGCACUGGUCCGGCCGGGCCUUUCCCUCUGUGGAACCCCAUACCCUUCACUGGGCGUGGCGGGGAAACAGGACAUUUACUUUGAAAAAAUUAGAGUGCUCCAGGCAGGCCUAUGCUCGAAUACAUUAGCAUGGAAUAAUAAAAUAGGACGCGCGGUUCUAUUUUGUUGGUUUAUAGGACCGCCGUAAUGAUUAAUAGGGACAGUCGGGGGCAUCAGUAUUCAACUGUCAGAGGUGAAAUUCUUGGAUCAGUUGAAGACUAACUACUGCGAAAGCAUUUGCCAAGGAUGUUUUCAUUAAUCAGGAACGAAAGUUAGGGGAUCGAAGACGAUCAGAUACCGUCGUAGUCUUAACCAUAAACUAUGCCGACUAGGGAUCGGACGGUGUUAUUCAUGACCCGUUCGGCACCUUACGAGAAAUCAAAGUGCUUGGGCUCCAGGGGGAGUAUGGUCGCAAGGCUGAAACUUAAAGAAAUUGACGGAAGGGCACCACCAGGGGUGGAGCCUGCGGCUUAAUUUGACUCACACGGGGAAACUCACCAGGUCCAGACACAUAAGGGAUGACAGAUUGAGAGCUCUUUCUUGAUUUUGUGGUGUGAUGCAUGGACCGUUCUUACUGGUGGGGUGACUGUCUGCUUAAUUGCGAUAACGAACGAGACCUUAACCUGCUAAAUAGGCCCGCAUUGCUCG
RNAcentral lists this ribosomal RNA (796 nucleotides) under uncultured fungus. RNAcentral's name for it is "SSU rRNA". It matches the Rfam family "Eukaryotic small subunit ribosomal RNA", at positions 564 to 1372 of the family's 1831-position model. The record is from RNAcentral. Lineage: Eukaryota; Fungi.